RNAcentral lists this ribosomal RNA (174 nucleotides) under uncultured Tepidiphilus sp. RNAcentral's name for it is "partial 16S ribosomal RNA". It matches the Rfam family "Bacterial small subunit ribosomal RNA", at positions 1210 to 1382 of the family's 1533-position model. The record is from RNAcentral. Lineage: Bacteria; Pseudomonadati; Pseudomonadota; Hydrogenophilia; Hydrogenophilales; Hydrogenophilaceae.
AGGGCGUUCACACGUCAUACAAUGGUCGGUACAGAGGGUUGCCAAGCCGCGAGGCGGAGCCAAUCCCACAAAGCCGAUCGUAGUCCGGAUUGUAGUCUGCAACUCGACUGCAUGAAGUCGGAAUCGCUAGUAAUCGCGGAUCAGCAUGCCGCGGUGAAUACGUUCCCGGGCCUU